AAGUCGUAACAAGGUUUCCGUAGGGUAUGUGUUAUCUCUCUUCUUAACUAUUUUUUACUUAUAACUAACAUUUUUCCAGUGAACCUGCGGAAGGAUCAUUACAGAGCUAGGGUCUUCUAGGCCCGACCUCCCACCCUAUGUUUAUUUGACUUAUUCGUUGCUUCGGCGGGCCCGUCCCAGGACCGCCGGAGGGCUGUAACUAGUCCUCUGGCCCGCGCCCGCCGGUGGCCUCGUUAAACUCUUGAAUCAAUCAUGAAUUGUCUGAGUAAAAAUUUUAAUGAAAACAAAACUUUCAACAACGGAUCUCUUGGUUCUG
Molecule: unclassified non-coding RNA, 316 nt
Filed under: air metagenome
Description: partial contains small subunit ribosomal RNA, internal transcribed spacer 1, and 5.8S ribosomal RNA
Source: RNAcentral